GUAGGUGGCAAGCGUUGUCCGGAAUUAUUGGGCGUAAAGCGCGCGCAGGCGGUUCUUUAAGUCUGAUGUGAAAGCCCACGGCUCAACCGUGGAGGGUCAUUGGAAACUGGAGAACUUGAGUACAGAAGAGGAAAGCGGAAUUCCACGUGUAGCGGUGAAAUGCGUAGAGAUGCGGAGGAACACCAGUGGCGAAGGCGGCUUUCUGGUCUGUAACUGACGCUGAGGCGCGAAAGCGUGGGGAGCAAACAGGGAUUAGAUACCCUGGUAGUCCACGCCGUAAACGAUGAGUGCUAAGUGUUAGGGGGUUUCCGCCCCCUUAGUGCUGCAGCUAACGCAUUAAGCACUCCGCCUGGGGAGUACGGCCGCAAGGCUG
RNAcentral lists this ribosomal RNA (373 nucleotides) under uncultured organism. RNAcentral's name for it is "partial 16S ribosomal RNA". It matches the Rfam family "Bacterial small subunit ribosomal RNA", at positions 527 to 896 of the family's 1533-position model. The record is from RNAcentral.